Molecule: ribosomal RNA, 161 nt
Filed under: uncultured bacterium
Lineage: Bacteria
Description: partial 16S ribosomal RNA
Rfam family: Bacterial small subunit ribosomal RNA
Source: RNAcentral
GGAAUCUUCCACAAUGGGCGCAAGCCUGAUGGAGCAACACCGCGUGAGUGAAGAAGGGUUUCGGCUCGUAAAGCUCUGUUGUUAAAGAAGAACACGUAUGAGAGUAACUGUUCAUACGUUGACGGUAUUUAACCAGAAAGUCACGGCUAACUACGCGCCAG